CCCGCUGCCCUCACAAGUCACGACGAGGUUUCUCAAAAAAAAAAGAGAAAACAUCUUCUGAUUGAUGCGAAAAGAAGAAGACAUAUUCCAGUGGAAGCAACCGCAGAACUGGCAUCAGAAACGGCCAUCUCAACUCAAUAUCAGCACCAGGAAUUCUGAACAUCGGUGGGGGGGCUGAUGCAAAUAAGAGUAUCAUAUACAUUAUACAAAGUGGAGCAUCAGAGUGGAGCAUAGGUUGUUGGAGGAUUUUGGUGAGUUGCGAGAGGUGAGCAAAGUGGAGGAUGUUGAGCAAAAGAUGAAAGCAUAGCUGGACAUGUACAAAAAAAACGCUCUCACCACAGUGGCGGAGCUAGCGAGAUAUUAUUGAGGGGGCAAAUAGCCAAAUAUAAUUGUGUGGAGGGGCCAAUAUUGUACUUAUCUUAAUUUGUGUCAUUCUAAACAGUAUUUCUUCACAAAAUAUUCAUGAGCUGGGGGGGCCAUGGCACCUGCAGCACACCACAUAGCUCCGCCAGUGUCUCACCGCAAGUGAUCAACACAUUGAGCACUUUGGUGGGCAUCGCCCGGAAGUCAAAGAUAGACCUUUCAUGAUGUUUUUCACACGAUAAUGAUAGCCCAUGAUGUUUCUAGGAUGAGGCGGAAGAGUCAUUCGACAUUGAUGAGUUCUCUUCGACGAGUGAUGGUCAGUUUGGUUGCACGUGAGCCAAGCCUAAUUGCUCUAGGCCUUGGCGCUAUGGUGUGUGACUCAGAUGAUGCCCCUUGAUGUUGCAGUUGUUUUGUCCCUGUCCCUAAGCUCUAGUGUUUUUUUUAUGGUUUUUAUUUUUUUCCCAGAUUUUCAUUUGUUUUUUUUAUUAAUCAAGAAUGUGAGGUUUUUAGGUCCAGUUUUCCUUAUAAAUUAGAUCAUCUCUCUUCUUCUUAAUGAACCGCAGGAACCCGCUGCCCUCACAAGUCACGACGAGAUUUCUCAAAAAAAAAGAGAGGAGAAAACAUCUUCUGAUUGAUGGGAGAAGAAAAAGACAUAUUCCAGUGGAAGCAGCCGCAGAACUGGCAUCAGAAACGGCCAUCUCAACUCAAUAUCAGCACCAUGAAUUCUGAACAUCGGUGGGGGGCCUGAUGUAAAUAUACAAGUAUCAUAUACAGAGGGGAGCAUCAUUCAGAACAUUUAUGGGUCUGACGUAGAUAGAUACGAGUCUCAUUCAUAUAUCAGCAUCAAAAGUUCAGAACAUUUGCGGUCUGACAUAGAUACGAGUCUCAUCUCAUACUAGAGAGGGGCUACAUCAUUUACAGUCCACGAGGCACCAGCAACAUCUCACCAAACGGCAGCGCAGCGGCCAGCCAGCCAGCUCUUGUUCAAAGCAAAACAGGAGAUUUGCCUUGAGCUCUACCAGUACCACAUCAGUACCACCUCGGUUCUCAUCACAACCAUCCAUGGAAACAUCUCACAACUACUAGAACCUAAGAGACAUUCUACACACCAUUACCUAGUCCUAAUCAAGCCCUCACAGCGGUUCACUCGGAAACAACCUUCUAAGCAUGCAGCUACAGCUCACUGUUCCUUCCAAAUUCGCCCGGUGACCCGCAGCUUGAGCUCCUUCCUGUCGCCCCCGGAGAAGCACAGGGCCAUGUUGCGCUGGAUGAUGAGCCCGUCGUAGCUGUCCCGGACUUUCCUGUGGCUAUCCCUGAUGCUCCGAGGGAUGCCCUGCCAGGUCAUCUUACGGUUGAUGCCUCCGACCUCCAGGCUGUAGGUGUAGUUCUUGGCCUCGGCGUCGUCUCCCAUGAACCUCAGGAAGGCGAUGUAGACCGGCGCCAUGCCCAGCUGGAACGCCUCGAAGUGCAGGCAGAAGUACUGCCCAAAGCAGCUGAAAACCUGGACAGAUAUUCUAGAGUUAGUUCCACAACUCUUACUUCCAUGAAGAGGAAAAACACAAGCAGAAGCUGAAUAACAGUAGCAUGCAGUGUCGACAGUAACCUUACUUAAUGGAGUUGUUAAGUAUGCACACACUUAGUAAACGAUCAGCAAUCCAUAAGACCAUAACUCAUGUUAUCAAAACUCUCCAAGAUACACCUUUAGUGUCUGGAUCUUGGACAGAGGAUGUGAGGAGUAAUCUACUGCAUAGUGUUUCAGAUCAUAAAUAUAGAGGCAGCUGAUAAUUACCGUAAGCAUCCAUGUGGCGUUCUCAACUUCAUGAGGAUUUGAUUUGACAUAGCGAUGAUUAAAGGUGCUUCCACUGUGCAUGUCAACCUUAUGAUCAUCCUUCAAGUGAUUUACUAGAUAUGGAAUGUCACCGGUGACAGUGCACUCAGAUCCCGCAUAUGGGCAAGUAUAGGGUCUGUAUUGGCACUGUGAUUCAUGUUUCAGCUUGCAGUAAUAAGGAUAUAUUCCCACGCAUCCAAAGUUCUGGAACUUGCAUGGAACCUCUAGAGAGGCAGCAACCUUCUCCAGAGCAAGGCAUCUUAUGUUACCCAAUUCACUCCUGCAAGUUGGGCAUCGAUUAUGAACCCUUGGCUUGCAUCCAGAACAAAUGGUAUGGCCAUUGGAGCACUGCACGCACAAAUGUGACAAAAUAGUUAAAAGAACCUCUAGGCACAUUCAUAUUGAACUUCAUUUCUGAGCUUAGAAUAUGCAGUGUAAAUUCAAAAUAAUCAUGAGAUACCAGGCCCUCCUACUAGAAUCAUUUGACAAUGAACAAUCUGGAUAACAUUGAAAAUGAAAAGGAAGACUGUUGCAAUGUAUAAGUUCAAAAUGUUUGCAGGGAGCUAGUUACAGGUGGGCCUGACGCAUGGGGUGGUUAACAGAAAGGAAGGGAUGCCACCUAUUAGGGUGAAAGCGAUUCAUAGAAAAAGGUCACCAACCAAAACCCUAUUUUAGUUCUGCCUACCUUGAAAGUAAAUCAGCAUUUUCAUAUUCUUUUGCAACUGGAAAUUCUUAUCUGAUCACACAUGUCGGUAUACACAUGGAAAGCCAAAAGCCUAGAACAAGGCUUAGUACAAUGCAACCGAUAUGCUAUAGUUAAAUGUAAUUAGUUCAGCAAGAAGGCAUACCUGAUGAAUUGGAGGAUACAUGGCGACCAAACACACAGGGCAUUCCAAUAGCUCACGCACAUUGCUAGAAACUAUGACAUUUGGUUUCGGUGAGUGCUCGAUAAGAUCACCGACGAGUUCUGUGACAUCUAACAUCUCAAUCUUUGGAGGGUCGAUAACUUCAGCAUCAAUGUCAUCAAGAUAGGCAGCUGACGCCAUGACCAAACCUAUAGAUGCAGAAUCCU
Molecule: long non-coding RNA, 3263 nt
Filed under: Triticum aestivum (bread wheat)
Lineage: Eukaryota; Viridiplantae; Streptophyta; Magnoliopsida; Poales; Poaceae
Description: long non-coding RNA (TAES_LNC023712)
Source: RNAcentral